This 346-nucleotide ribosomal RNA is filed under the name uncultured eukaryote. Its description in RNAcentral is "SSU rRNA". It matches the Rfam family "Eukaryotic small subunit ribosomal RNA", at positions 594 to 945 of the family's 1831-position model. The record is from RNAcentral.
AAAGUGUAUAUCGUCAUUGCUGCGGUUAAAAAGCUCGUAGUUGGAUCUGCGCCUCAGGACUCGGUCCGCCCACUGGGUGAGAACUGGGCUCCUAGGCUAAUACUGCUGGUUUUCCCUAUGUUGCCUUCACCGGUCGCGUAGGGUGGCUAGCGUGUUUACUUUGAAAAAAUUAGAGUGCUUCACGCGGGCUAUUGUCUGAAUACUCGUGCAUGGAAUAAUAGAAUAGGAUCUCGGUUCUAUUUUGUUGGUUUUCUGAUCUGAGAUAAUGGUUAAGAGGGACGGACGGGGGCAUUCGUAUCGCUGCGUGAGAGGUGAAAUUCUUGGACCUUAGCGAGACGUCCGACUG